Molecule: long non-coding RNA, 1089 nt
Organism: Macrobrachium nipponense
Lineage: Eukaryota; Metazoa; Arthropoda; Malacostraca; Decapoda; Palaemonidae
Exons: 4
Source: RefSeq, a predicted model, not a curated record
AAUAACAACAAGCAAGGGAGGAGCUGUUUCAAAGACAAACACCGCCUACUACUACUACUACACUCACGUGGACUGGCUGAGGUCAAAUUUAAAACCAUGAAAUUUUCCCGUCUCUGAAGAGCACUACUGCUGACCAUUUCUGCAAUCUGCAGGCGCAAAAUCAUCACCAAGAAGAACAAACGUGCUUUGUAAGACAAUUUCUUGCGACCUCUUAUGGUGGAAGUGAUGCGACCUCGUGAUGACAAUGACAAAAUUGGAAAGUAGGGUGCAAGAUCAGCAGAAGUCACUAGAAAUACAUGAUAGGUACCAUCGAACAUUUGAAACAAACUCAGGCUGCUGCACCCACUGGACCUGAUUUAUCCCUGCUGGACGGAUUGCUACCAAUACAAAGAUAUGUAGACUUUGAGGACUUUGAACAACAGAUAAAUGGGGACAGUCCCCUUAGAAAGUCACUGGUACAUAGACUCUAGAUUCUUGGGGGAGCAACCGUCAGCAGUCAAAACCAUGAUUGACUUCUGCAUGACAAGUGGACUAUAGUAUGAGUUCAACCGGGAAGGUCGUCUUGGCUGGAAGACGAAAACAAAUACAUGCAAGAAAGGGUUCAAGAACACGACAUUGUGUGGAAUUAUAAUAAAUAUUCUGGUGAACAAGACAAUUAUCAACUGAUGAAACUGAAGUAGGGAAAACUAUGAUGAUUUAUCUAGGAAAACCUAAUUCUGGUGGGGAUCCUGAAGGAAUAUGAUAUAGAGCACUUUUGCCGACUGUUGUCGAGGAAAUUAUAAAUAUUCAUGUAAUUUGUUUAUCACUCAAAUUUAUCUUAUUAUUUUCAGUCUUUUGAUUAGAUUUUUAUAUUUAAAUGAAUAAUUUUUAUUAUGUUUAAAUGAAUAAUUUAUGUAGAGACGUAUCAUUCUUUUCUGUCUAAUGUUUGUUGUGACUUCAUGCAAGAUGCUACAUCCAUUUAUCUCUUACAUACAGUGCUGUACUUAAUGAAUGGCAAUUUGUGUUCCUGCAUUACUUUUUUUUUUAAUUAAAUGGAUGUACCAUCUUGCACAAAGUCACAUCAAACAGACAGUAAUCCAUGAAUAUUUA